This 424-nucleotide long non-coding RNA is filed under the name Fukomys damarensis (Damara mole-rat). Its description in RNAcentral is "lncRNA (ENSFDAG00000026951.1)". Lineage: Eukaryota; Metazoa; Chordata; Mammalia; Rodentia; Bathyergidae. The record is from RNAcentral.
CUUUUUUCACAAUUAAAAUAACUUUAAAGCACGUGGGGAUGAUAGCUAGGAAGUGAGAAUUGCUGAAAUCUGGUAGAACAAUAAACAGUUUGUGCAAUGAGCUUUUUAGGAAAAAAGGAGACUAUAGGUGAAAUAAGCAUCCACUCAUGCUUUUGUAGUGGAAAAUAAAAUGAAGUAUCAGAAGAUAAGAGAAGAAGCCAAUUGUGGAGUGGGAAGAGUGGUGGAGAGAAAAAAGGGGAAAUACUUUGAGUUGUGGAGAGAAUUUGGGAAAAUGGGAAAGUGGAAAAUCUUCAAAGGUGUUAAGGGCUUGAAAUAAAGAAGAGGAGUAAGCAGUGAAUGUUCAUAAAGGACCAUUGAGGAGGAAGCGAGACCAAGAAGGAGAUACACGGAGAGCCUAAUAUCAGCUCUGAAAUCAUCAAUAAAC